RNAcentral lists this ribosomal RNA (520 nucleotides) under Pyxicephalus adspersus. Its description in RNAcentral is "partial 16S ribosomal RNA". It matches the Rfam family "Bacterial large subunit ribosomal RNA", at positions 1910 to 2607 of the family's 2925-position model. Lineage: Eukaryota; Metazoa; Chordata; Amphibia; Anura; Pyxicephalidae. The record is from RNAcentral.
UGACAAAGUUUAACGGCCGCGGUACCCUAACCGUGCGAAGGUAGCAUAAUCACUUGUUCCUUAAAUAGGGACUAGUAUCAACGGCAUCACGAGGGCUAUACGUCUCCUUUCUCCAAUCAGUGAAACUGAUCUCCCCGUGAAGAAGCGGGAAUUAAACUAUAAGACGAGAAGACCCCAUGGAGCUUCAAGCCCAAAAAGCAACUUAUUACUACACUACCUUAAAACAUCAAGUUAUGCUUAUUGGCUUUGGGUUGGGGUGACCGCGGAGUAUAACAUAACCUCCACGAUGUAAAGGAUUUCCCUUAUCUAAGAACAACAAUUCAAAGAGCCCUAAAAAUGUCACAAAAUGAUCCGAACUUCGAUCAACGGACCAAGUUACCCUGGGGAUAACAGCGCAAUCCAUUUCAAGAGCCCCUAUCGACAAAUGGGUUUACGACCUCGAUGUUGGAUCAGGGUAUCCCAGUGGUGCAGCCGCUACUAAAGGUUCGUUUGUUCAACGAUUAAAACCCUACGUGAUCUG